UCCACGAGAGGUUAUAAAUGGUUAUAAAGUUGUUCUAAAAUAAUGUAAACCUGUGUAAACCUAAAUUUUAAGAAAAAUUUGAUUAUUCCAAGAAACAAGUAGAAUGCGCUUCAGCAAAUUACCGAAAGAUCAAAUCUAUCUUGCGAUCGUUUUAGGUUGCGUUACUGGUUAUUAUAUAUGGAAUGAGCCCAUAAAGAAUUACAGUCAAGAGCAUUUUGGCGAUACAAAUCAAAUAAACAAACUUCCUGAUGGCCAAAAGUAAACUUCUGGCGUCAGUUCGUUUGAAGCUGUUGGGAACUGUGUGUGCAGGUUUAGGACUUUUAUUAUGUUACAGAUUCCUUAUAAAAAACCAUGUUUGGUUUAAUAAACACAAUGAAGCUGAGAUGUAUGCAAAUUUCAUUUAUGAAAACUAUAAAGAAAAAGAAGAAAUGAAAAAG
Dufourea novaeangliae is the source of this 437-nucleotide long non-coding RNA. RefSeq lists it as uncharacterized. The transcript is spliced from 3 exons. The record is from RefSeq and is a predicted model, not a curated record. Lineage: Eukaryota; Metazoa; Arthropoda; Insecta; Hymenoptera; Halictidae.